GACGAACGCUGGCGGCGUGCUUAACACAUGCCAGUCGAACGGAAAGGCCCUGCUUUUGUGGGGUGCUCGAGUGGCGAACGGGUGAGUAACACGUGAGUAACCUGCCCUUGACUUUGGGAUAACUUCAGGAAACUGGGGCUAAUACCGGAUAGGAGCUCCUGCUGCAUGGUGGGGGUUGGAAAGUUUCGGCGGUUGGGGAUGGACUCGCGGCUUAUCAGCUUGUUGGUGGGGUAGUGGCUUACCAAGGCUUAGACGGGUAGCCGGCCUGAGAGGGUGACCGGCCACAUUGGGACUGAGAUACGGCCCAGACUCCUACGGGAGGCAGCAGUGGGGAAUAUUGCACAAUGGGCGGAAGCCUGAUGCAGCAACGCCGCGUGCGGGAUGACGGCCUUCGGGUUGUAAACCGCUUUCGCCUGUGACGAAGCGUGAGUGACGGUAAUGGGUAAAGAAGCACCGGCUAACUACGUG
This 468-nucleotide ribosomal RNA is filed under the name uncultured bacterium. RNAcentral's name for it is "partial 16S ribosomal RNA". It matches the Rfam family "Bacterial small subunit ribosomal RNA", at positions 28 to 507 of the family's 1533-position model. The record is from RNAcentral.